Molecule: unclassified non-coding RNA, 348 nt
Filed under: soil metagenome
Description: partial contains 5.8S ribosomal RNA, internal transcribed spacer 2, and large subunit ribosomal RNA
Rfam family: 5.8S ribosomal RNA (bases 1-120)
Source: RNAcentral
GAUGAAGAACGCAGCGAAAUGCGAUAAGUAAUGUGAAUUGCAGAAUUCAGUGAAUCAUCGAAUCUUUGAAUGCACAUUGCGCCCGCCAGUAUUCUGGCGGGCAUGCCUGUCUGAGCGUCAUUUCAACCCUCAUGCCCCUAGGGCGUGGUGUUGGGGAUCGGCCAAAGCCCGCGAGGGACGGCCGGCCCCUAAAUCUAGUGGCGGACCCGUCGUGGCCUCCUCUGCGAAGUAGUGAUAUUCCGCAUCGGAGAGCGAUGAGCCCCUGCCGUUAAACCCCCAACUUUCCAAGGUUGACCUCAGAUCAGGUAGGAAUACCCGCUGAACUUAAGCAUAUCAAUAAGCGGAGGA